Molecule: long non-coding RNA, 1593 nt
Organism: Cebus imitator (Panamanian white-faced capuchin)
Lineage: Eukaryota; Metazoa; Chordata; Mammalia; Primates; Cebidae
Exons: 3
Source: RefSeq, a predicted model, not a curated record
CUUUAGCUUAAGCUAUGCCAAGGCCGUCUGUAGCAGCUGACUUCUGCUUUCUGCUGGGUCUUCAAUUCCUGUUUCUCAUACCACAAAAGUGGUUGCUGAUGCUACUUUAGAAAGGGAAGUCAUUUGCCCUUUCAGAUAAAAUGAAGGAAGCCCUGAGGAGGCUGCAGAAUCUUUUCCCAUGGCCUGGCACUGGCUCCUACAGCUCCAUCCUUCAUAGCGCUCCUCCUGGGCCCCAAGGUGCUGCUGGUGGUUUGUGUCUCUGUCAUCUAUGUCCACUGGAAGCAGAAGGCCUGACUAUCUUCAUUGAAAGACUGGAGUUCCUUGAGAACGCCUUGACAGUUUCUUCCUUGGGAAGGUACCUUGCUGCUCCAAGCACAGAUCUGCGAUCUUCCUGAUACGAUUGCAUCGUUUCUGAGUCCUGUAUUCCAAACUGUGAUGUUUUGGAGGCAUGAAAUGUUAUGGCUCACACCUUCCAAGCCAAUUGCUAUUUUCAUGAGAAGAAAUAUUCCUCUUUCAACUGCUGGUAUGUUUUACUUUGAAUUAUAUUUCUUCAGCUAUUAAUAUUUCUUUUUUUGCUUUGUACACAAUACACUUUUAUAUAAAUAUGUAGGUAAACAUAACAUUUUGCACCUUCAAAUUUAUCAUUCAAUAAAGAAGCUUAUUAAAAUCAGCAAAACAUCUUAAAUAUAUUUUAACAAUGUACAUAUGUAUUCACAACAUAAUCUGCUGAUUAAGAGACUCCACCAAGUUUAUACCUACAACACAAUUUACAGAUGCCUACAAUAGUUUGUACAUUUAUUUAGUUUAUAAUAACAUCUAUUGCUUUAAGAAAUAUCGUUCAUACAAAUGCGUGAUAUGUAACAUUCUCAUUAUAGUAAGAAAGAAUAUAGGUUUAUAAAACAAAGUGUCUUUACUCAUUAUGUGAAGUAUGUAAAUGAUUAUUCUCAUUAAAACAUAAGAAUAAUUCAUUUUUAGUCAUAAAACAUAGAUAUCAUUAGGUCAAAGAGCAUUGAAGAGCUCCAGGAGGUUCCAAAGAAAAAUCUGGUUAGCCUUUUACACAAUAAAUACAACAGCACCAAUCUCUUGGUAUUCCUGAAACAUAAACUAUGAUGAUUUCAUUUAUGUUAAUUGGGCCUUAAGUAAAUGACUUCUUACAAAUGAAAAUAAACAAAAUUUUAGAAACUAGAUAGUACCAAUGGCCUAAACUUGGUUUUUACUUGUUUGUGUAUUUCUAAGAAAUUUUACCAUGAAGUACGUAUUAAAAAAUAACAAUUAUUUCUAACUUACCCAUAAGCCAAAGUGCUCACUCAUACCAUGGAAACAAAACUUGCUUCUGAAAAUAAUCUAAAGAAAUAAUCUGUAAACACCUAGAGCUUUGAAAUGGACUAAGAACAUCCUAUGCUCUAUGGAUCAAAUUGCAAAGGCCUUCAUUACAUAUAUCAAUAAACACACUUUGGUUAAUUUGGGAUAUAUUGAUAUUACAUGACCAUGUGCAUACCUCUGUCUACCAUUAACCAAAUGUUGACGUUUAUAGUGACAACACAGUUUUGAGCCCCAAGUGCUGGAAAGAAAAUAAAAACAAUAUGAAAAGUA